UACAGAGGUCCCGAGCGUUGUUCGGAUUCAUUGGGCGUAAAGGGUGCGUAGGCGGCGGGGAAAGUCUGAUGUGAAAUCCUGGGGCUCAACCCUGGAACUGCAUUGGAUACUUCCUUGCUAGAGUACUGGAGAGGAAACUGGAAUUUACGGUGUAGCAGUGAAAUGCGUAGAGAUCGUAAGGAAGACCAGUGGCGAAGGCGAGUUUCUGGACAGUUACUGACGCUGAGGCACGAAGGCCAGGGGAGCAAACAGG
Molecule: ribosomal RNA, 253 nt
Filed under: uncultured bacterium
Lineage: Bacteria
Description: partial 16S ribosomal RNA
Rfam family: Bacterial small subunit ribosomal RNA
Source: RNAcentral